Long non-coding RNA from Corticium candelabrum, 965 nucleotides. RefSeq lists it as uncharacterized. The record is from RefSeq and is a predicted model, not a curated record. Lineage: Eukaryota; Metazoa; Porifera; Homoscleromorpha; Homosclerophorida; Plakinidae. The transcript has 6 exons.
GACGAAUGCCAAUCAUGCUGUGCAGCACACAAUUUCAUCUCCUCGUUCAGGAAUCUAUCAAUGUAUCGCUAGAAAUGAGUAUGGCAGCAAACAAUCAUCACUCUACGUAACAGUAUCAGGUGUUGUUCCGACUGUUUCUGCUACAAGUCGUUCACCAACAACGGCAGCUACAUCUCCAUCGAUGCCACAAUCUACUGCAUCUGACUACGUGACUACUACAUCUCUACCUCACACAUUAGUGACAAAGUCAUCAAAUCAUUAUUCUAGUUCAUCAACGUCACAGCAUCUGCCCACAAAUUCUAUCGACAUUUCGUCAAAUAGGAGGAUCUCUAUUAUCUCUACCGGAUCUACUCUUACUUCAUCUCGUACUGCAACUUUACAUCCAGACAGAACAGAGUCGUCAACAAGCAAGCAAGCAAAGACAGAAACUUCAUUUACACCGACGGCAUCCUACCUGUCUCGUCCAGUGUUUCCUUCAACAGCAAGAGCGCAAACUGACUUCCAGUCAUCACGCAAUUGAUCAACCUUAGUUACGUUGAAAAGCAGGUGGUGGACAAGAAAGUGGAAGAAAGUCUUCAGAUCUGACGGAUGUUGCAGUAUCAGGAUGGGUUGUAUCCGUCUUGUUAUUUGGAGUUAUACUUAUUAUGAUAUGGAUAAAUAAAAACAUCGAGAAUCUAGUCGGAAAAAAGCGAAAAAACAACAAUGAGAGAAAAUCCUGCUUACAAUUUUAUAUCAUCACACGCUCGAGGAGGAACGGCUCCAUCAUCGACUGAUGUUGUACAGUACGAGAGGUAGGAAUGGAUGCAACUAAACGUCAACGUUCUUACGAGAACAUUUCUAAGACCUGACGACGCAGAAACAGACAGAUGUAGAACAUCUAGCAGACGAAUGUAGCUCAUCAAUCCUAUCAGCACGCAUGGUUCUAGCUAAUCAACACUACACUACUAGAUAGUACUGUUCUUCAA